AUUGAACGCUGGCGGCAUGCCUUACACAUGCAAGUCGAACGGUAACGCGGGGCAACCUGGCGACGAGUGGCGAACGGGUGAGUAAUGCAUCGGAACGUGCCCAGUAGUGGGGGAUAGCUCGGCGAAAGCCGGAUUAAUACCGCAUACGACCUACGGGUGAAAGCGGGGGAUCGCAAGACCUCGCGCUAUUGGAGCGGCCG
This 200-nucleotide ribosomal RNA is filed under the name uncultured bacterium. RNAcentral's name for it is "partial 16S ribosomal RNA". It matches the Rfam family "Bacterial small subunit ribosomal RNA", at positions 30 to 232 of the family's 1533-position model. The record is from RNAcentral.